AACGCGAAGAACCUUACCAGCUUUUGACAUGUCCUGGACGGAUUGCAGAGAUGCGAUCUUCCCUUCGGGGCCGGGAACACAGGUGCUGCAUGGCUGUCGUCAGCUCGUGUCGUGAGAUGUUGGGUUAAGUCCCGCAACGAGCGCAACCCUCGCCCUUAGUUGCCAUCAUUCAGUUGGGCACUCCAGGGGGACUGCCGGUGAUAAGCCGGAGGAAGGUGGGGAUGACGUCAAGUCCUCAUGGCCCUUACAGGCUGGGCUACACACGUGCUACAAUGGCGGUGACAACGGGAGGCGAAGGGGCGACCCUUAGCAAAUCUCGAAAAGCCGUCUCAGUUCGGAUUGCACUCUGCAACUCGAGUGCAUGAAGUUGGAAUCGCUAGUAAUCGCGGAUCAGCACGCCGCGGUGAAUACGUUCCCGGGCCUUGUA
RNAcentral lists this ribosomal RNA (427 nucleotides) under uncultured Alphaproteobacteria bacterium. RNAcentral describes it as "bacterial SSU rRNA". It matches the Rfam family "Bacterial small subunit ribosomal RNA", at positions 958 to 1385 of the family's 1533-position model. The record is from RNAcentral. Lineage: Bacteria; Pseudomonadati; Pseudomonadota; Alphaproteobacteria.